RNAcentral lists this ribosomal RNA (474 nucleotides) under uncultured bacterium. Its description in RNAcentral is "bacterial SSU rRNA". It matches the Rfam family "Bacterial small subunit ribosomal RNA", at positions 335 to 800 of the family's 1533-position model. The record is from RNAcentral.
ACUCCUACGGGAGGCAGCAGUGGGGAAUAUUGCACAAUGGGCGCAAGCCUGAUGCAGCCAUGCCGCGUGUAUGAAGAAGGCCUUCGGGUUGUAAAGUACUUUCAGCAGUGAGGAAGGUGGGUAUGUUAAUAGCAUAUUCAUUUGACGUUAGCUGCAGAAGAAGCACCGGCUAACUCCGUGCCAGCAGCCGCGGUAAUACGGAGGGUGCGAGCGUUAAUCGGAAUUACUGGGCGUAAAGCGCAUGCAGGUGGUUUGUUAAGUCAGAUGUGAAAGCCCGGGGCUCAACCUCGGAAUUGCAUUUGAAACUGGCAAACUAGAGUACUGUAGAGGGGGGGUAGAAUUUCAGGUGUAGCGGUGAAAUGCGUAGAGAUCUGAAGGAAUACCGGUGGCGAAGGCGGCCCCCUGGACAGAUACUGACACUCAGAUGCGAAAGCGUGGGGAGCAAACAGGAUUAGAUACCAUGGUAGGCUCUGC